This 492-nucleotide ribosomal RNA is filed under the name uncultured bacterium. RNAcentral's name for it is "partial 16S ribosomal RNA". It matches the Rfam family "Bacterial small subunit ribosomal RNA", at positions 29 to 507 of the family's 1533-position model. The record is from RNAcentral.
AGUGAACGCUGGCGGUAGGCCUAACACAUGCAAGUCGAACGGCAGCACAGUAAGAGCUUGCUCUUACGGGUGGCGAGUGGCGGACGGGUGAGGAAUACAUCGGAUUCUACUUUUUCGUGGGGGAUAACGUAGGGAAACUUACGCUAAUACCGCAUACGACCUACGGGUGAAAGCAUGGGAUCUUCGGACCUUGCGCGAUUGAAUGAGCCGAUGUCGGAUUAGCUAGUUGGCGGGGUAAAGGCCCACCAAGGCGACGAUCCGUAGCUGGUCUGAGAGGAUGAUCAGCCACACUGGAACUGAGACACGGUCCAGACUCCUACGGGAGGCAGCAGUGGGGAAUAUUGGACAAUGGGCGCAAGCCUGAUCCAGCCAUACCGCGUGGGUGAAGAAGGCCUUCGGGUUGUAAAGCCCUUUUGUUGGGAAAGAAAAGCAGCAGGUUAAUACCCCGAUGUUCUGACGGUACCCAAAGAAUAAGCACCGGCUAACUUCGUG